GUUCAGGAUGUUUUUUCGGGCGGAGCUAAAACGGUGGCUCGAUGACGCACUGGAGCCACUGAGCUCCUGGCCCCUCCCCAAACAACAUAACUAGAGCACACAUUCGCAUCAGUUCGCCGCUCAAUCGCGAGUUUCUGUGGACUACCAUCGUUUAAAUACCUUGACCGGAGCAUAACUGGUUAACUUCACACAAGAGACCUACUGUUGGACAAUUGUUUUGGCUUUAAAGGAGAAAGUCAUCGCUCUGUAAUUGGCCCUUGGACUCCCCUGGCAUCUCGUGUACAGCAUGAAGUUUUCAGCUAUGAAGAUUUCCAGAGACUCCAGAAUUAAAAAG
Molecule: long non-coding RNA, 334 nt
Organism: Cyprinus carpio (common carp)
Lineage: Eukaryota; Metazoa; Chordata; Actinopteri; Cypriniformes; Cyprinidae
Exons: 4
Source: RefSeq, a predicted model, not a curated record